GRCUCUCAACAACGGAUAUCUUGGCUCCCGUAACGAUGAAGAACGCAGCGAAAUGCGAUACGUAGUGUGAAUUGCAGAAUUCCGUGAACCAUCGAAUCUUUGAACGCAAAUUGCGCUCGAGGCUUCGGCCAAGAGCAUGUCUGCCUCAGCGUC
RNAcentral lists this ribosomal RNA (153 nucleotides) under Trebouxia sp. P-10. Its description in RNAcentral is "5.8S ribosomal RNA". It matches the Rfam family "5.8S ribosomal RNA". Rfam says of the family: 5.8S ribosomal RNA (5.8S rRNA) is a component of the large subunit of the eukaryotic ribosome. The record is from RNAcentral. Lineage: Eukaryota; Viridiplantae; Chlorophyta; Trebouxiophyceae; Trebouxiales; Trebouxiaceae.